Molecule: microRNA, 21 nt
Filed under: Picea abies (Norway spruce)
Lineage: Eukaryota; Viridiplantae; Streptophyta; Pinopsida; Pinales; Pinaceae
Also listed under: 7 other names
Description: pab-miR166b
Gene: pab-miR166b
Source: miRBase by way of RNAcentral
UCGGACCAGGCUUCAUUCCUU